AUCGCCCUACGGGGCGCAGCAGUGGGGAAUAUUGCGCAAUGGACGAAAGUCUGACGCAGCGACGCCGCGUGAGGGAUGAAGGUUUUCGGAUCGUAAACCUCUGUCAGGAGGGAAGAAAGCGCAUGGCGCCAAUCAGCCAUGCGUUGACGGUACCUCCAAAGGAAGCGCCGGCUAACUCCGUGCCAGCAGCCGCGGUAAUACGGAGGAUGCGAGCGUUAUCCGGAUUUAUUGGGUUUAAAGGGUGCGUAGGCGGACGCUUAAGUCAGCGGUAAAAUUGCGGGGCUCAACCCCGUCGUGCCGUUGAA
Molecule: ribosomal RNA, 305 nt
Filed under: uncultured bacterium
Lineage: Bacteria
Description: bacterial SSU rRNA
Rfam family: Bacterial small subunit ribosomal RNA
Source: RNAcentral